This 1504-nucleotide ribosomal RNA is filed under the name primary endosymbiont of Diocalandra frumenti. RNAcentral's name for it is "16S ribosomal RNA". It matches the Rfam family "Bacterial small subunit ribosomal RNA". Lineage: Bacteria; Pseudomonadati; Pseudomonadota; Gammaproteobacteria. The record is from RNAcentral.
UAGAGUUUGAUCAUGGCUCAGAUUGAACGCUGGCGGCAGGCUUAACACAUGCAAGUCGAACGGUAACGGGGAGCAGCUUGCUGCUCUGCCGACGAGUGGCGGACGGGUGAGUANAGCCUGGGGAUCUGCCUGAUGGAGGGGGACAACCACUGGAAACGGUGGCUAAUACCGCGUAAAGUCGAGAGACCAAAGUGGGGGACCUUAGGGCCUCACGCCAUCAGAUGAACCCAGGUGGGAUUAGCUAGUAGGUGAGGUAAGGGCUCACCUAGGCGACGAUCUCUAGCUGGUCUGAGAGGAUGACCAGCCACACUGGAACUGAGACACGGUCCAGACUCCUACGGGAGGCAGCAGUGGGGAAUAUUGCGCAAUGGGGGGAACCCUGACGCAGCCAUGCCGCGUGUAUGAAGAAGGCCUUCGGGUCGUAAAGUACUUUCGGUAAUGAGAAAGGGUCAGAUUAAUAAAAUGGUCUGGCAUUGAUAUUAGUUACAGAAGAAGCACCGGCUAACUCCGUGCCAGCAGCCGCGGUAAUACGGGGGGUGCAAGCGUUAAUCGGAAUGACUGGGCGUAAAGGGCAUGUAGGCGGUUAAUUAAGUUGGAUGUGAAAGCCCCGGGCUCAACCUGGGAACAGCAUACAAAACUGGUUAGCUAGAGUACUGUAGAGGAAGGUAGAAUUUCCACGUGUANCGGUGAAAUGCGUANAGAUGUGGAGGAAUACCGGUGGCGGAGGCGGCCUUCUGGGCAGUAACUGACGCUGAGAUGCGAAAGCGUGGGGAGCAAACAGGAUUAGAUACCCUGGUAGUCCACGCUGUAAACGAUGUCGAUUUGGAGGUUGUGGUCAUGAACUGUGGCUUCCGAAGCUAACGCGAUAAAUCGACCGCCUGGGGAGUACGGCCGCAAGGUUAAAACUCAAAUGAAUUGACGGGGGCCCGCACAAGCGGUGGAGCAUGUGGUUUAAUUCGAUGCAACGCGAAGAACCUUACCUGGUCUUGACAUCCAUAGAAUUCNUCAGAGAUGGUGAAGUGCCUUCGGGAGCUAUGAGACAGGUGCUGCAUGGCUGUCGUCAGCUCGUGUUGUGAAAUGUUGGGUUAAGUCCCGCAACGAGCGCANCCCUUAUACUUUGUUACCAGCAUGUAAUGGUGGGGACUCAAGGUAGACUGCCGGUGAUAAACUGGAGGAAGGUGGGGACGAUGUCAAGUCAUCAUGGCCCUUACGACCAGGGCUACACACGUGCUACAAUGGCGCAUACAGAGGGAGGCGAAGGUGCGAACUGGAGCGGAUCUCAGANAGUGCGUCUAAGUCCGGAUUGGAGUCUGCAACUCGACUCCAUGAAGUCGGAAUCGCUAGUAAUCGCAAAUCAGAAUGUUGCGGUGAAUACGUUCCCGGGCCUUGUACACACCGCCCGUCACACCAUGGGAGUGGAUCGCAAAAGAAGUAGGUAGCUUAACCGUAAGGGGGGCGCUUACCACUUUGUGGUUCAUGACUGGGGUGAAGUCGUAACAAGGUA